RNAcentral lists this ribosomal RNA (468 nucleotides) under uncultured bacterium. RNAcentral describes it as "partial 16S ribosomal RNA". It matches the Rfam family "Bacterial small subunit ribosomal RNA", at positions 28 to 507 of the family's 1533-position model. The record is from RNAcentral.
GACGAACGCUGGCGGCGUGCUUAACACAUGCAAGUCGAACGGAAAGGCCCUGCUCUUGUGGGGUGCUCGAGUGGCGAACGGGUGAGUAACACGUGAGUAACCUGCCCUUGACUUUGGGAUAACUUCAGGAAACUGGGGCUAAUACCGGAUAGGAGCUCUUGCUGCAUGGUGGGGGUUGGAAAGUUUCGGCGGUUGGGGCUGGACUCGCGGCUUAUCAGCUUGUUGGUGGGGUAGUGGCUUACAAGGGCUGUGACGGGUAGCCGGCGUGAGAGGGUGACCGGCCACAUUGGGACUGAGAUACGGCCCAGACUGCUACGGUAGGCAGCAGUGGGGAAUAUUGCACAAUGGGCGGAAGCCUGAUGCAGCAACGCCGCGUGCGGGAUGACGGCCUUCGGGUUGUAAACCGCUUUCGCCUGUGACGAAGCGUGAGUGACGGUAAUGGGUAAAGAAGCACCGGCUAACUACGUG